GCUGCAUGCCGAUCUCCAACAUUUACCCAGGUCAUUAGGUGACUCUGCGUCUCCAUGGGCAUCAGGAAACAUUUUAUACAAAGAACAGGUCUAGGAUAUCUGCGCAACGUGUAGCAGCUGAGGACUGAGGGUGGCCCAUGUAGCUAGCGAGCAGUCACACAUGUGAUUCUCCUCAAGAAGCAUAAAAUCAACUCUGAUCUGCACGUCCAGGUCAACCAAUUACUGG
Molecule: long non-coding RNA, 226 nt
Organism: Scomber japonicus (chub mackerel)
Lineage: Eukaryota; Metazoa; Chordata; Actinopteri; Scombriformes; Scombridae
Exons: 3
Source: RefSeq, a predicted model, not a curated record